This 207-nucleotide ribosomal RNA is filed under the name uncultured bacterium. RNAcentral's name for it is "partial 16S ribosomal RNA". It matches the Rfam family "Bacterial small subunit ribosomal RNA", at positions 568 to 774 of the family's 1533-position model. The record is from RNAcentral.
UGCGCAGGCGGCUUGAUAAGUCAGGGGUGAAAUAUGACGGCUUAACCGUCAAACUGCCCCUGAAACUGUCAGGCUUGAGUCCGGGAGAGGAAGGUGGAAUUCCAGGUGUAGCGGUGAAAUGCGUAAAUAUCUGGAGGAACACCGGUGGCGAAGGCGGCCUUCUGGCCCGGAACUGACGCUCAGGCACGAAAGCAUGGGGAGCGAACG